RNAcentral lists this long non-coding RNA (1309 nucleotides) under Mytilus galloprovincialis (Mediterranean mussel). The record is from RNAcentral. Lineage: Eukaryota; Metazoa; Mollusca; Bivalvia; Mytilida; Mytilidae.
GCAAUAAAAUGUAUUGGUACAAUUGUAUGCAACACAAGUAUUAUGAGUACAGAAUAAAAUUUAAACUCAGUGUUGAAAGCAAUUAUGAUGUAGAACAUGAACUUAUUAACCAAAAAGUAGUUGGUGUUUAAUGACUAAAUUGAGAGUAUUGGGACAGUUCCUGUGUGUUAUUUGUCAACAAAAACAGCAGCCAUGGGUAAAUAUAAGGGCUUGUUAUAAUUAAAAUGCGUGUUUGUUAACUUUUUUUUCUCAAUACACGGUCAUAAAUCAAACAAGUUCGUGCUUGUGUCAAUUUCUUUAAUCCAGUCAUGUUUUUUGUCCAAUUUGUUCUAUCAUUCUUUCGCUUUGGAUAUCAUUCACAGUCCAAAUUUCCUGACACAACUCAUUGUAUGAAUAAAGAAAAAAACACGGUUUUCGAUUCACUUAAUGUGACUACCGCAAUUUGCGUUCAAGGACAAGGCGUUUUACUCGUAACUCGAAUAUUUAAUGCCCUUCUCGUUAUCAAUCUCUAUUCUCGGUAGAUGAUGUUGUCAUCAUAGAGCAGCAGAAUAUGUCGACUUAAUAAUUUUCGUUAGAUUACUCAAAGAAAUACAAAAACGAAAUUGAAACAGGAAGUUUUGAAUGAAACGAAAUUAUUGAUGGUUCCCGGUAACGGACAUGAUCAAAAUCCGGAACUCGUAUUUUUGUUAAAUAAAAAAAAUCGGCACGGGACGAUUUCAGAGGGGCGGGCGGGGAUGAAAAUCUAGCAAUUAAUUUUAAUUGGCCUUAUGUACUGGUAUUAGAAAGGGUUAAUAUUCUAUUGCAUUUAUUGUCAAACACAAUCUGCCAGUGUUCUCUUCAGGGCCUUUAAGCACUAUGGUACCCUGGUGCUAUUUUGGAGGAUUCUAUAAUGAAAUGUAAAGGGGUGAGGGUGCUAUAUUUUUUGGAAAACCAUGGCUAUAAUGUUAAUUUCCAUGGUGCUAUAUUAAUAUUCUGGGAGAGAACAUUGCAUCUUGUAUGGGGUAUAGUUAUAUAUUUCAUUUAUUUUCAGUAUAAUAUAUCUUACAAAUUAGUUGAAAUUACUGUAUGAUUAAUACUAUAUAUAUAUAUAUAUAUAUAUGUAUAUGAAGGUAAAUGGCCUCUUAAAUUAGAUACAAUAAACUGUUCUUAUUCUCAUAUUAUUAGUGUUAUACUAAUGGAUGUUAAGCAGUCAUUAAUCAAUCAAUUUCUUGUUUGUUAUAACCAAUAUAACAUCACCCGUAUAUAGUAUUCAACGGCCUUGGAUUAAUAGACUUCUGACUUUUGGGGAGAUUUAGAGAUUGACAAGGAG